Molecule: ribosomal RNA, 480 nt
Filed under: Salmonella enterica subsp. enterica serovar Typhimurium
Lineage: Bacteria; Pseudomonadati; Pseudomonadota; Gammaproteobacteria; Enterobacterales; Enterobacteriaceae
Description: partial 23S ribosomal RNA
Rfam family: Bacterial large subunit ribosomal RNA
Source: RNAcentral
GGAUAAAAGGUACUCCGGGGAUAACAGGCUGAUACCGCCCAAGAGUUCAUAUCGACGGCGGUGUUUGGCACCUCGAUGUCGGCUCAUCACAUCCUGGGGCUGAAGUAGGUCCCAAGGGUAUGGCUGUUCGCCAUUUAAAGUGGUACGCGAGCUGGGUUUAGAACGUCGUGAGACAGUUCGGUCCCUAUCUGCCGUGGGCGCUGGAGAACUGAGGGGGGCUGCUCCUAGUACGAGAGGACCGGAGUGGACGCAUCACUGGUGUUCGGGUUGUCAUGCCAAUGGCACUGCCCGGUAGCUAAAUGCGGAAGAGAUAAGUGCUGAAAGCAUCUAAGCACGAAACUUGCCCCGAGAUGAGUUCUCCCUGAGACUUAGAGUCUCCUGAAGGAACGUUGAAGACGACGACGUUGAUAGGCCGGGUGUGUAAGCGCAGCGAUGCGUUGAGCUAACCGGUACUAAUGAACCGUGAGGCUUAACCUUACA